CAGCCGCCGCGGUAAUACGUAGGGUGCAAGCGUUAAUCGGAAUUACUGGGCGUAAAGCGUGCGCAGGCGGUGUUGUAAGACUGAUGUGAAAUCUCUGGGCUCAACCCAGAGUCUGCAUCGGAAACUGUCGAGCUUGAGUAUGGGAGAGGUGAGUGGAAUUUCCGGUGUAGCGGUGAAAUGCGUAGAUAUCGGAAGGAACACCUGUGGCGAAAGCGGCUCACUGGACCAUUACUGACGCUGAGGCGCGAAAGCUAGGGGAGCAAACAGGAUUAGAUACCCCGGUAGUCCCUGUCUCUUAUAC
Molecule: ribosomal RNA, 301 nt
Filed under: uncultured bacterium
Lineage: Bacteria
Description: partial 16S ribosomal RNA
Rfam family: Bacterial small subunit ribosomal RNA
Source: RNAcentral